AUUGAACGCUGGCGGCAUGCUUUACACAUGCAAGUCGGACGGCAGCACAGAGAAGCUUGCUUCUUGGGUGGCGAGUGGCGAACGGGUGAGUAAUAUAUCGGAACGUACCGAGUAAUGGGGGAUAACUAAUCGAAAGAUUAGCUAAUACCGCAUAUUCUCUGAGGAGGAAAGCAGGGGACCUUCGGGCCUUGCGUUAUUCGAGCGGCCGAUAUCUGAUUAGCUAGUUGGGGGGGUAAAGGCCUACCAAGGCGACGAUCAGUAGCGGGUCUGAGAGGAUGAUCCGCCACACUGGGACUUAGGCACGGCCCAGACUCCUACGGGAGUCAGCAGUGGGGAAUUUUGGACAAUGGGCGCAAGCCUGAUCCAGCCAUGCCGCGUGUCUGAAGAAGGCCUUCGGGUUGUAAAGGACUUUUGUCAGGGAAGAAAAGGCUGUUGCUAAUACCGACAGCUGAUGACGGUACCUGAAGAAUAAGCACCGGCUAACUACGUG
RNAcentral lists this ribosomal RNA (490 nucleotides) under uncultured bacterium. RNAcentral's name for it is "partial 16S ribosomal RNA". It matches the Rfam family "Bacterial small subunit ribosomal RNA", at positions 30 to 507 of the family's 1533-position model. The record is from RNAcentral.